GGGUCGUUAGCUCAGUUGGUAGAGCAGUUGACUUUUAAUCAAUUGGUCGUGCAGGUUCGAAUCCUGCACGACCCACCA
This 78-nucleotide transfer RNA is filed under the name Salmonella enterica subsp. enterica serovar Tucson. Its description in RNAcentral is "tRNA-Lys". It matches the Rfam family "tRNA". Rfam says of the family: Transfer RNA (tRNA) molecules are approximately 80 nucleotides in length. Their secondary structure includes four short double-helical elements and three loops (D, anti-codon, and T loops). Further hydrogen bonds mediate the characteristic L-shaped molecular structure. tRNAs have two regions of fundamental functional importance: the anti-codon, which is responsible for specific mRNA codon recognition, and the 3' end, to which the tRNAs corresponding amino acid is attached (by aminoacyl-tRNA synthetases). tRNAs cope with the degeneracy of the genetic code in two manners: having more than one tRNA (with a specific anti-codon) for a particular amino acid; and 'wobble' base-pairing, i.e. permitting non-standard base-pairing at the 3rd anti-codon position. The record is from RNAcentral. Lineage: Bacteria; Pseudomonadati; Pseudomonadota; Gammaproteobacteria; Enterobacterales; Enterobacteriaceae.